This 437-nucleotide long non-coding RNA is filed under the name Citrus sinensis (sweet orange). RNAcentral's name for it is "long non-coding RNA (CSIN_LNC005730)". The record is from RNAcentral. Lineage: Eukaryota; Viridiplantae; Streptophyta; Magnoliopsida; Sapindales; Rutaceae.
GAUUAAUAAGAAAAUACCGGAUUAUUAGGCAAAACGCAGAGAUCUUCCUCAAAUGAAUUCACAUUCAUGGCCAAGAAAGAAAGAGUGGCAGUGACUCAGCUUGUGUUAAUGUUAUACGAAACGUACAUAAAAAAAAAAAAUGAUAAUGAAAACAACGAGGCCAAGCCAUAUGGAGACGAAGGAGAGGGACUGAGGGAGCAAGUUGGCCAGCCGAUAUUUUGGGGGGGCUGUGGUCAGGUCUCUGUUGUAGCAUCAUACAUUUGCAAGAAAAAUCUUCACUCGCCCUAUGGCGUUACCUCGCCUGAUCAUAUUCUAUACAUAUUAAUUUAUUAUCCAUUUAUACACAUACAUAUGCUUUUGCUUUUUCAUUUGCAUGCAACGUGACACACCUUAGUCUAGUUUGUCACCAAUUUGUAUACGACUGGACGACCUUUUUU